This 105-nucleotide transfer RNA is filed under the name Heterodermia speciosa. It matches the Rfam family "tRNA". From Rfam's summary of the family: Transfer RNA (tRNA) molecules are approximately 80 nucleotides in length. Their secondary structure includes four short double-helical elements and three loops (D, anti-codon, and T loops). The record is from Rfam by way of RNAcentral. Lineage: Eukaryota; Fungi; Ascomycota; Lecanoromycetes; Caliciales; Physciaceae.
GGCACUUUGGCGGAGUGGUUAACGCGCGCGCCUGCUAUUCCCGAAAGGAAAUAUCUAGAACAGCGCGUUCCUUCGGGAGCGAGAGUUCGAAUCUCUCAGGUGUCG